RNAcentral lists this ribosomal RNA (253 nucleotides) under uncultured bacterium. RNAcentral's name for it is "partial 16S ribosomal RNA". It matches the Rfam family "Bacterial small subunit ribosomal RNA", at positions 524 to 776 of the family's 1533-position model. The record is from RNAcentral.
UACGAAGGGGGCUAGCGUUGCUCGGAAUCACUGGGCGUAAAGGGUGCGUAGGCGGGUCUUUAAGUCAGGGGGGAAAUCCUGGAGCUCAACUCCAGAACUGCCUUUGGUACUGAGGAUCUUGAGUUCGGGAGAGGUGAGUGGAACUGCGAGUGUAGAGGUGAAAUUCGUAGAUAUUCGCAAGAACACCAGUGGCGAAGGCGGCUCACUGGCCCGAUACUGACGCUGAGGCACGAAAGCGUGGGGAGCAAACAGG